CAAUAGUGGACAAUGAUUCUGCUGCAGUUAAAAAGCUCGUAGUUGGAUUUUUGGUUUUUAUGGUUGUUGUUUUGCAUUUAUUUGCUUAAUUGACUUCAAUUCUAGCCUUUUGUGAGAAAUACUUUUGUAUGUCUCGCCUUUUACUGUGAGGAAAUCCAAGUGCUCAAAGCAUGUCGUAUGACAAGAAGGCUUCAGCACGGAAUGAUAAGACACGACCAUCGUCGCUCUUGUUGGUUUAGCAAUGUGGUAAUGAUUAACAGGAACGGUUGGGGUAAUUCGUAUUAAUACGUCAGAGGUGAAAUUCUUGGAUUGUAUUAAGACGAACGAAAGCGAAAGCAUUUUACAAGGAUGUUUUCAUUAAUCAAGAACGAAAGUCUGGGGAUCGAAGACGAUUAGAUACCAU
This 403-nucleotide ribosomal RNA is filed under the name uncultured eukaryote. RNAcentral describes it as "bacterial SSU rRNA". It matches the Rfam family "Eukaryotic small subunit ribosomal RNA", at positions 592 to 1018 of the family's 1831-position model. The record is from RNAcentral.